ACUCCUACGGGAGGCAGCAGUAAGGAAUAUUGGACAAUGGGCGGAAGCCUGAUCCAGCCAUCCCGCGUGCGGGACGAAGGCCCUCUGGGUCGUAAACCGCUUUUGCAGGGGGAGAAACGUGCGGUAUCUACCGCACCUGACGGUACCCUGCGAAGAAGCACCGGCUAACUCCGUGCCAGCAGCCGCGGUAAUACGGAGGGUGCGAGCGUUAUCCGGAAUCACUGGGUUUAAAGGGUGCGCAGGCGGCGUGCUAAGUCAGGGGUGAAAUCCCGCGGCUCAACCGUGGAACUGCCCUUGAUACUGGCAUGCUCGGAUGGGCGCGAGGCGGCGGAACGCGGCAUGUAGCGGUGAAAUGCAUAGAUAUGCCGUAGAACACCGAUUGCGAAGGCAGCUGGCUGGGCCUAUAUUGACGCUGAGGCACGAAAGCGUGGGGAGCGAACAGGAUUAGAUACCCUGGUAGGUCAGU
This 466-nucleotide ribosomal RNA is filed under the name uncultured bacterium. RNAcentral describes it as "bacterial SSU rRNA". It matches the Rfam family "Bacterial small subunit ribosomal RNA", at positions 335 to 798 of the family's 1533-position model. The record is from RNAcentral.